RNAcentral lists this ribosomal RNA (492 nucleotides) under uncultured bacterium. RNAcentral describes it as "partial 16S ribosomal RNA". It matches the Rfam family "Bacterial small subunit ribosomal RNA", at positions 29 to 507 of the family's 1533-position model. The record is from RNAcentral.
AGUGAACGCUGGCGGUAGGCCUAACACAUGCAAGUCGAACGGCAGCACAGUAAGAGCUUGCUCUUACGGGUGGCGAGUGGCGGACGGGUGAGGAAUACAUCGGAAUCUACUUUUUCGUGGGGGAUAACGUAGGGAAACUUACGCUAAUACCGCAUACGACCUACGGGUGAAAGCAGGGGAUCUUCGGACCUUGCGCGAUUGAAUGAGCCGAUGUGGGAUUAGCUAGUUGGCGGGGUAAAGGCCCACCAAGGCGACGAUCCGUAGCUGGUCUGAGAGGAUGAUCAGCCACACUGGAACUGAGACACGGUCCAGACUCCUACGGGAGGAAGCAGUGGGGAAGAUUGGACAAUGGGGGCAAGCCUGAUCCAGCCAUACCGCGUGGGUGAAGAAGGCCUUCGGGUUGUAAAGCCCUUUUGUUGGGAAAGAAAAGCAGCAGGUUAAUACCCCGCUGUUCUGACGGUACCCAAAGAAUAAGCACCGGCUAACUUCGUG